Molecule: unclassified non-coding RNA, 3934 nt
Filed under: Penaeus chinensis
Lineage: Eukaryota; Metazoa; Arthropoda; Malacostraca; Decapoda; Penaeidae
Description: serine/arginine repetitive matrix protein 1-like, transcript variant X1
Source: RNAcentral
CUCCCCAGCCCCAGCCCCCGGGGAGGAACCGGGUCCUGGUGAGAGUCCAGUCCAGUUCGGAGGAGUCGGGAGGCAGAGAGUCGCUGCUGCUGUUUGUACUAGGGUAAGAGUGGGGAUAGGGUUGGGUGAAAAUGGUACGCUCACCAACCCGCCGAUCUCCACGGCCGAGGUCUCCAAGGCCUAGGUCACCCAGGCCACGAUCCCCUAGGCCUAGGUCUCCGAGGCCUAAAUCUCCUCGAAGGAGAUCUCCUGUGCGCCGCCCAGCCUCACCACGGAGACGAAGUGGAGAUCGCGGAGGGUCCAAGCGCGGGCCUCGCAGCCCACCCCCCAGGCCAGGCGGAAGUGGAAAUGGCGUUGCUGGCGGAGGUGGGGGAGGUGGAGGGGGCAGCGGGAGGAGGAGGAAGGGCCGUAGGCGCCGCAGGGCAAGGGGAGGAGGUGGAGGAGGUGGGGGGGGAGGUGGUGGUGGUGGUGGAGGAGGAGGAGGAGGUGGUGGAGGAGGCAGUGGUGGGGGUCCUCCCAUGUCAGGAGGUAAUAAGCAGCCUAUCGCAUCCAUGCGGAUGAGAAUGGAUGACUACAGGCCACCACGUGCAGAGAGACUCCUCAGAGACCCAAAAGAAGAUUGUGGGGUUGGUGGUGGUGGGAUAGAUCGAGGUCCCAUUGAACAAGUCGUUGUGCGUGCGCGUCGCGAGGCUUCCACCCGCACCAAGGACACUUUCUGGACCAAGAAAUUGCUUGAUGCAGAAGCUUCACAACCAAACAGAUGGGCACACACCGGCUUCAAGGAGCUCUACCGCGAUGAGUUGGGCUACAGUGAUGUAGGGGAAGCAAGUGGGGAUGAGAAGGGCAGGGAGAGCCGGGCUUCUUCUCGUCCCCGUGACCCUAGGGAUCCUAGGGACCCCAGGGAUCCAGCUGCCAUUCCUCCACGGAAGAUUGGUGGCUCUCCAUCCCGGCCCAGGUCUCCACGUGACCCCAGGCGAAGAACAAGAAGUCGUUCCCCGCACUCCAUCAGACACUCGCCAAGACGCUCACCAAUCAGGCCCGCCCAGAGAUCCCCGCGCCACUCGCCCCGACGCUCUCCCAGACGCUCUCCGAAGCCGCUGUCGAGGGUCAAGAGGCGUCCGGGAUCUCACUCUCCCGCAAGACCCCGCGUCCACAAGCGUUCGUACUCGAGCAGUUACUCCAGAUCGUCUUCGAGUAGCAGCGGUUCGUCCUAUUCGAGGAGCUACUCGUCCUAUUCUCGAUCGUCGUCGGGCUCAUCGUCAUCCUCUUUCUCCAGUUCUUCUUCGAGCACUUCGGGGUCGAGACGCAGGCACUCGUACUCGCCGCCGCCCAGGAGACCGCGGUCGUACUCGGGGUCGCCACACCGAGGGCGGAUACCCAGGAGGCAGCCGCCGCCAGCCUCGCCUCCCUCGCAGGUUCGGAUCAAGCAGGUGUCGCACCAGGAAACGACCAAGAAGCUCGUAACGAAGACAGUCAGCAAUGUGGUGAUGACCAAAACCAGAACCGUGCCCAAGGUCGCGAAGCUGAAAACGAAAGUCAAACCAAAGGACAUAGAAGGGGCAGUAAGGCGGAAGCCCAGGCUGCCGGCCCCGCCAGCCGCCGCCACCUAUUACAACGAUGAUAGUGUGGUGGUGGUCAAAGAGCCAGGGGAUUAUCGCAGCGGUCCUGGCACGCCUCCCAGGGGCACCACGGAGGGACGGCACCUGCUGGAUCCUCACCACUACAAGGUGGUUCCCCCCGACCACCCCGACUACCACCAGCCGCCGCCGCCUCCGAGAGAAUCGCCGAAGUCUGAAGGCGAAGACACAGAUUCAGAUUCUUCGUCAGACGACGACGACGGGCCGCGACGCAUGACCUUGUCUGAGAGGUUUGGGAAGCUGGCUCAACUUAGUUCACAGAGGCAGGAAUACGAAGGUGUCAGAAUGAAAAUCGUACGUGAAGGCGGCCAGGACAAGAAAGUGUAUCUCGAAGGAGGCAGAUUGCACUCGAGGUCGCCCUCUCCAGGCAGCCGAGGCCGGGCCACCCACCCUGCACACGAGCGGUGGCUUCAGGAACAUCAAGCGGAAUACAGAGAAUACCAGGAGCGCUAUGGCGAGAUCCGGCAGUGGGACCCGCACCGCGACCUGCCUCGAGAGUUGCCGCAGAACUGGGACGACGUCCACGUCAGAUACCGCUACUACAAGGAAUCCGGCUACUUCGGCGACAGGUCGAUUACGCUCGAUGACUACUUGAAGUGGGAGCAGUGGUGGUACCAUUAUCGCGACUGGCUGGAGAAGUACGGCGGGACACAGGAGUCCGAGGAGAGGGACUGGCAGUACAGGGCGUCGAGUUACGAGUAUGAGGUUCGAGGGGGAACUUCGUCAAGUCAGGGGGGCAGGUGGCCGCGUCGGGAACCGUCAAGAGAAGCCGAUGACAGGAAAAGGAGAAGAUACUAAACGGUUUCUUAGGUUCUGAAAAUUGCCUGUUCCACUAUGGGUAUUCUAUGCUCUGUAAUUUUACUGCCAUGCGGUCACUUGAAAUACCCUUCUUGGGCAGUUAUAAAUAGGUGAUGUUAGCUUUGCACCCAAACAAAUAAUGUGGAAAACAAAUGAUACGUCUUUCCACCGUGAUAACAAGUAUAACAAGUGAUUUAAAUGAUUGCUGCCAUUGAAGCAACAACAGGUUUUUAAACGAGGCAGACUUUCAUGCAGCUCUUGGAUCUCGGGACCACAUCAUCAAUGUGUGCAUGAAGCGAUGGCGUAGAAAGACAGCUUAGCUUUCGUCGUAAUUGGAAGCUGUUGCUCGGUAUGAACGGCCACCGAUUUUAUCUUCAACACUUCGGAAAUAAAGAAUUUGCUUUUAGCUACUGCCCUGCAUAGCUUUGUAAUAUAUACUGUAGAAUAUUUUAGAAAACAAGCUUUAUUGUCAAGAUCACCGUUGUUUGAUCUUAGGAAUGACAUUGUCUUUUUACAACCGAAGGAUAUUAAAGUGCAAACUUUUCUAUGUAUUACCCGUCCCAUUAAUAAUAUAUAGGCGAAAGAAACAAAUUUUACAGUUAACUUUUGCAUCCAACAGUAUAAAGCUUAGAUCAGGAUAUUGCAGCACUUCAGUUCCAAAUUUUGCUUUUUGUUAAUAUAAUGUAUUUUAUAAUUAUAUGUAUACAGAUUUGUGCUCUUCAAGUACCGGAAAACUAUUGAAGAUUAGCACACACCAUUUUACAUAGAAUGCUUGACUCUUCUUGAAAUAUUCAGAACCGUUCGAAACUGGAAGACAAAAGACAAAUCAGGGGAAAGCCUUUUAUUUUGAAAUGUUUUGUUGCUUUUUUUUUUCAAUGUAUCUUUUUUAUAUUAAACUAGCUUCUGAGAAAUCUCUUUGACCAAUUGGAAUAUCAAUUAGGGAUUUAUGUAGAAGUAAUGAGAACAGGAAAAAAUGGGGGAAAUGAUUCUGAGAAGCCGUGAUAUUAUUGAUUGCUAAUGCAUAUUUUGACUUUAUUUAAGAACUGUUUCUAAACUGUCAUAUUCAAGUUUGUUACAAUGAAAUUGCCUUAACCACUUAUUGAACAAUGACAGGAGACGUUACGUAUUACAUUAAAAAAAAAAAAAAAGUGAUAUCUGUGUGUUUGCAACAGUAUGGAUGUGCGCUUCUCAGUGAAACUAUUUAUAACUCACAAUACCUGUUCCAUAACUCACAAAUCCUUCAAUAUACAGGCAGGGAAAAGGCGUCUUCCACAAACACUAGCAGUGUACGUAUACAUUGAAGGAUGAAAAUGAGCAAUGCGUAAUGAUACAGUUUCAUAUUAAACUUCUUGUUUUUUUUUGCAAUAUGUAUUUAUUUAUGUAUGAUAGGAACGAGUAAUGCUUUCGAAGCAUUGCGUUUUAGAGAUGAAAUAAAUGUCGUGAUAUUUAUUGUACUUGCUGUAUGACCUGUACGAUAUAAAAAUUUUCUUCUCCAUAUA